UGGCUUUUAUCAUGAAGGGCUGUUGAAC
RNAcentral lists this non-coding RNA (28 nucleotides) under Mus musculus (house mouse). The record is from RNAcentral. Lineage: Eukaryota; Metazoa; Chordata; Mammalia; Rodentia; Muridae.